Stygiomarasmius scandens is the source of this 99-nucleotide non-coding RNA. The record is from the annotation of a GenBank genome assembly. NCBI's taxonomy places the organism in Eukaryota, Fungi, Basidiomycota, Agaricomycetes, Agaricales, Campanellaceae.
GGGCACAUAGCGUAGGGGUCAUCGCGUUCGCUUUGCAUCCAUAAUCCAUCAAGGUCUACUGCAUGCGAAAGGUCUCCGGUUCAAAUCUGGAUGUGUCCA